Molecule: long non-coding RNA, 382 nt
Organism: Zea mays
Lineage: Eukaryota; Viridiplantae; Streptophyta; Magnoliopsida; Poales; Poaceae
Exons: 2
Source: RefSeq, a predicted model, not a curated record
CAGCUAUAUAAGCUCCAGGAAGCAGAGAGCCAGGCAUCUCUACUUGAAAGUUGUUUGAAGAGUUUGUGCACAGUGGGUCUCCUACUCGGCUACUCUCCGGGAACCAUGGCUGUUGUGGAGCUGAAGGUUGGAAUGCACUGUGAGAGUAGGUUCUGGUGUCCCCUGGCCUAGUCGGUCGUGGGAGAUGAGCUCCUCGUCCGUGUUGAUGAGUUAUUAGUCUUGUCGGGAUCUUAUGAGUCUGAUGGACGCGUUUCGGAUGGCUCUCGACGCGUGGGUCGACUGUGUGGAGGUGGAUGUUAUAAACUUAUUUGUCGGGAUCUGUGUGGAGGUGCGUUGUAAACUUAGUAAGCUUGUUAUAAAAUUUCUCUGUUGUCCUUAACUA